UCUGGGAUUGAAGUCGAAGGUGUAUUUUCGGCUCUGUCCUUUAAAAUGUCAGCCGAAGGAGCAUCUUCGGCUUGUCGAAAUUGCCGUUUAGCAACUGAUUUACGCCGUUUUGAAGACAGCGGCGUAGUAGUUUGUACAGUUUCAAUCGUUCUUUUGUCUGAAGCUGGGACUGAUGAAGAAGUGGAAAUAGACUGCCGAUGAAAGUGAAAGAAAAGGAAGUUGUAAUAUACCGAAAAUUCGGAAAAUAAAUAUCGAACUUUAGUCAAAUUGACAAAAGUGCG
RNAcentral lists this long non-coding RNA (281 nucleotides) under Ananas comosus (pineapple). Its description in RNAcentral is "long non-coding RNA (ACOM_LNC016582)". Lineage: Eukaryota; Viridiplantae; Streptophyta; Magnoliopsida; Poales; Bromeliaceae. The record is from RNAcentral.